UAUAACCACAAUCUUCAUAUAAAAUAGAAUAACAAAAUGUCCUGGAAAAAUACUAGCCAAAGCUGGAUCUGGGCUGUUUUAUAUUAUGACAGCAAUAUAAAGUACUGUAAUAUGUUGCUGUAAGUACUGGUCUGAAUGGUGACAUUUCUUGUGACAAACCUCAGUAUGGAUGAAAAAGAAAAUGCUUGGAAAACAAAAUAUCUUGCUAGAAUGAUCAUUUUUUGACACAAAUAUAAUGGGUAUGUUUCCAUACCAAGAACAUAUAAUCACAUCAGAAAAGUUAAUGCUUUUCCCUGAAAUGCAAAAGAUGAAAGUACAAAUCCCUGAACUGAAUCACCACAGAGACAAGUCUGAAUCUGUUCAUCCAUAACUGAAUUCUCAAAUGAUCAAACUAGCAAGUACCCUCAGCUGAUCUUCUCUAAUGUGUUUGGGUUUUCAGAGGUAAUUGUGAAGCAUCUUCAUUUCAUUCUGCAAGGAAAGAACUGCCCCAAACCCCUUAUUGUUUCUAAAGAACUGGAAAUGUUGUCUAACAGCCAGUUUCCUUUUUCUCAAAUAAAUAUUGGUGAAACCUUGCUUUAAAGAGAGCUCUGCAGGAUCAAGGAUUCAACUGGAGAACUUUAAGAGAAAUAUCAUCGGUAGUGCGGAACUUUUUUUAUGCUGUCGUAAAGCCAGGAGAAGUCAAUUAGGUCUAGUACUUCAUUAAUGAUGUUCACAAAUCACAUUUAUGGCAAGUUUCAUAUCUAGUGCUCUGUUAGAAUAUGCCAUUUGGAAAGCCUACAUUUGACACCCUUAUAUGAUGGCACUGCAGCUACUACUGGGGACAGGAGAGAACUGCAAGGCGACAGUGGGAACACGGGACGAUGCAGAGCUGCUCAGUGUCAGAUGCUGAGGAUGUAGCAAGAGUGUCUUACCAGGGUGAAAAGGUCUGGGUUAGCACACAGAAAAUACCAUCCCAACAAGGAUUAAUCCUAGAGGUAAUGAGAGGACCUGAAGCAGCAUUUAGGUUUCUUCCUCUUACCUGCCAGUCACUCAGACACAUCCUCAGACUCCGUGCUGGUACAGAACCACAUCAUGCAGCAACACAACCAGAGAGGAAAGGUUUUAGUAUGGGCCCCAUCCUGAAAGCCCUCAGCACACUCGGGUGUGAAGAUGCAUCGUCAAGUCUCAGUGCCUUCUGUGCAAAGAUUAAAGACAUGCAAUAGAAUAAUAAACAAAAAUCAGACGGUUGUUUAUUAUUUACU
RNAcentral lists this long non-coding RNA (1241 nucleotides) under Anser brachyrhynchus (Pink-footed goose). RNAcentral describes it as "lncRNA (ENSABRG00000000860.1)". The record is from RNAcentral. Lineage: Eukaryota; Metazoa; Chordata; Aves; Anseriformes; Anatidae.